RNAcentral lists this ribosomal RNA (473 nucleotides) under uncultured organism. RNAcentral describes it as "partial 16S ribosomal RNA". It matches the Rfam family "Bacterial small subunit ribosomal RNA", at positions 333 to 797 of the family's 1533-position model. The record is from RNAcentral.
ACACUCCUACGGGAGGCAGCAGUGGGGAAUUUUGGACAAUGGGCGAAAGCCUGAUCCAGCCAUGCCGCGUGCAGGAUGAAGGCCUUCGGGUUGUAAACUGCUUUUGUACGGAACGAAACGGCCUUUUCUAAUAAAGAGGGCUAAUGACGGUACCGUAAGAAUAAGCACCGGCUAACUACGUGCCAGCAGCCGCGGUAAUACGUAGGGUGCAAGCGUUAAUCGGAAUUACUGGGCGUAAAGCGUGCGCAGGCGGUUAUGUAAGACAGUUGUGAAAUCCCCGGGCUCAACCUGGGAACUGCAGCUGGGACUGCAUAGCUAGAGUACGGUAGAGGGGGAUGGAAUUCCGCGUGUAGCAGUGAAAUGCGUAGAUAUGCGGAGGAACACCGAUGGCGAAGGCAAUCCCCUGGACCUGUACUGACGCUCAUGCACGAAAGCGUGGGGAGCAAACAGGAUUAGAAACCCCAGUAGUCCCA